AACUUUCGACAAUGGAUCACUUGGCUCUCGCACCGAUGAAGAACGCAGCGAAAUGCGAUAAGUAAUGUGAAUUGCAGAAUUCAGUGAAUCAUCGAAUCUUUGAACGCACCUUGCACCCUUUGGCAUUCCAAAGGGUAUGCCUGUUUGAGUAUCAUGAAAUUCUCAACUCUCCUCAGAUUCCAUCUGUAGGGUGAGCUUGGACUUGGAGGUUUCUGCUGGCGUUCGCUGGCUCCUCUUGAAAUCAUUAGCUUUGAGUUGAUCUUGAUGGCUCGACCGGUGUGAUAAACAUCUACGCCGAUUUGUGCUGUCCUGAGCGACGACGUCGGAGACGCUCUGGCUUAUAACCGUCUUUCACUGAAGGACAACACCCUGAACUUUUGAUCUCAAAUCAGGUAAGACUACCCGCUGAACUUAAGCAUAUCAAUAAGCGGAGGCU
This 436-nucleotide unclassified non-coding RNA is filed under the name uncultured Tomentella. RNAcentral describes it as "sequence contains ITS2". The stretch from base 1 to 154 matches the Rfam family "5.8S ribosomal RNA". Lineage: Eukaryota; Fungi; Basidiomycota; Agaricomycetes; Thelephorales; Thelephoraceae. The record is from RNAcentral.